RNAcentral lists this ribosomal RNA (433 nucleotides) under uncultured bacterium. Its description in RNAcentral is "partial 16S ribosomal RNA". It matches the Rfam family "Bacterial small subunit ribosomal RNA", at positions 29 to 507 of the family's 1533-position model. The record is from RNAcentral.
AGCGAACGCUGGCGGCAGGCUUAGCACAUGCAAGUCGAGCGGGCCCUUCGGGGUCAGCGGCGGACGGGUGAGUAACGCGUGGGAACGUGCCUUCUGGUUCGGAAUAACCCUGGGAAACUAGGGCUAAUACCGGAUACGCCCUUUUGGGGAAAGGUUUACUGCCGGAAGAUCGGCCCGCGUCUGAUUAGCUAGUUGGUGGGGUAACGGCCUACCAAGGCGACGAUCAGUAGCUGGUCUGAGAGGAUGAUCAGCCACACUGGGACUGAGACACGGCCCAGACUCCUACGGGAGGCAGCAGUGGGGAAUAUUGGACAAUGGGCGCAAGCCUGAUCCAGCCAUGCCGCGUGAGUGAUGAAGGCCUUAGGGUUGUAAAGCUCUUUUAUCCGGGACGAUAAUGACGGUACCGGAGGAAUAAGCCCCGGCUAACUUCGUG